UUGAUCCUGGCUCAGGAUGAACGCUAGCUACAGGCUUAACACAUGCAAGUCGGGGGGCAGCAUGAAGUCAGCUUGCUGACUUUGAUGGCGACCGGCGCACGGGUGAGUAACGCGUAUCCAACCUACCCCUUAGUAGGGCAUAGCCCGUAGAAAUGCGGAUUAAUACCCUAUGUUUUCCGAGGAUGGCAUCUGACUUGGAACAAAGAUUCAUCGCUAAGGGAUGGGGAUGCGUCCGAUUAGCUUGCCGGCGGGGUAACGGCCCACCGGGGCGACGAUCGGUAGGGGUUCUGAGAGGAAGGUCCCCCACACUGGAACUGAGACACGGUCCAGACUCCUACGGGAGGCAGCAGUGAGGAAUAUUGGUCAAUGGGCGAAGGCCUGAACCAGCCAAGUAGCGUGAGGGACGACUGCCCUAUGGGUUGUAAACCUCUUUUGUUUGGGAAUAAAGUGAGGCACGUGUUGCCUUUUUGUAUGUACCUUACGAAUAAGCAUCGGCUAAUUCCGUGCCAGCAGCCGCGGUAAUACGGAAGAUGCGAGCGUUAUCCGGAUUUAUUGGGUUUAAAGGGAGCGUAGGCGGGCCUUUAAGCCAGCGGUCAAAUGUCAUGGCCCAACCUUGGCAUGCCGUUGGAACUGUUGGCCUUGAAUACACACAAGGAAGGUGGAAUUCGUCGUGUAGCGGUGAAAUGCUUAGAUAUGACGAAGAACUCCGAUUGCGAAGGCAGCCUUCUGGGGUGCGAUUGACGCUGAGGCUCGAAAGUGCGGGUAUCGAACAGGAUUAGAUACCCUGGUAGUCCGCACGGUAAACGAUGGAUGCCCGCUGUUUGCCUUUGAGGUAAGCGGCCAAGCGAAAGCAUUAAGCAUCCCACCUGGGGAGUACGCCGGCAACGGUGAAACUCAAAGGAAUUGACGGGGGCCCGCACAAGCGGAGGAACAUGUGGUUUAAUUCGAUGAUACGCGAGGAACCUUACCCGGGCUUGAACUGCAGGAGAACGAUUCAGAGAUGAUGAGGUCCUUCGGGACUCCUGUGGAGGUGCUGCAUGGUUGUCGUCAGCUCGUGCCGUGAGGUGUCGGCUUAAGUGCCAUAACGAGCGCAACCCUUCUCUUCAGUUGCCAUCAGGCUAUGCUGGGCACUCUGGAGACACUGCCACCGUAAGGUGUGAGGAAGGUGGGGAUGACGUCAAAUCAGCACGGCCCUUACGUCCGGGGCUACACACGUGUUACAAUGGCGCGUACAGAGGGCUGGUGUAUGGCAACAUGCAUCGAAUCCUUAAAACGCGUCUCAGUUCGGACCGGGGUCUGCAACCCGACCCCGCGAAGCUGGAUUCGCUAGUAAUCGCGCAUCAGCCAUGGCGCGGUGAAUACGUUCCCGGGCCUUGUACACACCGCCCGUCAAGCCAUGAAAGCCGGGGGCGCCUGAAGUCCGUGACCGCGAGGGUCGGCCUAGGGUGAAACCGGUGAUUGGGGCUAAGUCGUAACAAGGUA
Molecule: ribosomal RNA, 1482 nt
Filed under: uncultured rumen bacterium
Lineage: Bacteria
Description: 16S ribosomal RNA
Rfam family: Bacterial small subunit ribosomal RNA
Source: RNAcentral